RNAcentral lists this ribosomal RNA (460 nucleotides) under uncultured bacterium. Its description in RNAcentral is "partial 16S ribosomal RNA". It matches the Rfam family "Bacterial small subunit ribosomal RNA", at positions 338 to 795 of the family's 1533-position model. The record is from RNAcentral.
CCUACGGGUGGCAGCAGUGAGGAAUAUUGGUCAAUGGACGAGAGUCUGAACCAGCCAAGUAGCGUGAAGGAUGACUGCCCUAUGGGUUGUAAACUUCUUUUAUAUGGGAAUAAAAUGUUCCACGUGUGGGAUUUUGUAUGUACCAUAUGAAUAAGGAUCGGCUAACUCCGUGCCAGCAGCUGCGGUAAUACGGAGGAUCCGAGCGUUAUCCGGAUUUAUUGGGUUUAAAGGGAGAGUAGGUGGAUUGUUAAGUCAGUUGUGAAAGUUUGCGGCUCAACCGUAAAAUUGCAGUUGAAACUGGCAGUCUUGAGUACAGUAGAGGUGGGCGGAAUUCGUGGUGUAGCGGUGAAAUGCUUAGAUAUCACGAAGAACUCCGAUUGCGAAGGCAGUUCACUGGACUGCAACUGACACUGAGGCUCGAAAGUGUGGGUAUCAAACAGGAUUAGAUACCCCUGUAGUC